RNAcentral lists this ribosomal RNA (448 nucleotides) under uncultured bacterium. RNAcentral describes it as "SSU rRNA". It matches the Rfam family "Bacterial small subunit ribosomal RNA", at positions 26 to 518 of the family's 1533-position model. The record is from RNAcentral.
AGAACGAACGCUGGCGGCAGGCUUAACACAUGCAAGUCGAACGCGUGUAGCAAUACACGAGUGGCGCACGGGUGAGUAACGCGUGGAUAUCUGCCUUUUGGUUCGGAAUAACCCCCGGGAAACUGGGGCUAAUACCGGAUGGUUCCUACGGGAUAAAGAUUUAUCGCCAAAAGAUGAGUCCGCGUACGAUUAGCUAGUUGGUGAGGUAAUGGCUCACCAAGGCGACGAUCGUUAGCUGGUCUGAGAGGACGAUCAGCCACACUGGGACUGAGACACGGCCCAGACUCCUACGGGAGGCAGCAGUGGGGAAUAUUGGACAAUGGGGGCAACCCUGAUCCAGCCAUGCCGCGUGAGUGAUGAAGGCCUUCGGGUUGUAAAGCUCUUUUGGCGGGGACGAUGAUGACGGUACCCGCAGAAUAAGCCCCGCUAACUUCGCGCCAGCAGCCGC